RNAcentral lists this non-coding RNA (818 nucleotides) under Pongo abelii (Sumatran orangutan). Lineage: Eukaryota; Metazoa; Chordata; Mammalia; Primates; Hominidae. The record is from RNAcentral.
UGGCGGGUCACCCAGCAGCGGCCCCCGGACACCUCUCCCUCCUGGAUGAUGUCCCCUCUCUGGCUCCAGGCCUCAUACUCCUCCUGGCUCAAGUACUCUGCAGCCCUGGGAGAAGCUCUUCUCAGGGUGUCCACUUUACAAACCUGACCCUGCACGCCCCGCUCUGCCCUGCACCUCCAUCCUGAACUAUCUGGACACAGCAGGAGGCACAGUUUCUCGCUCAGGAUCUUCCCAACCACCCUGGGCACAAAGAGCACAGGCCGGGGCUGGGCCGGUCGAUGGGGCCGUACCAGGGUAUAGGGCACCAGGGUGAGGCAGCUCUCGGCCCAGAAGCACGCGCUGGAGCCUGUGGAGGAGAGGAUCCUGCGGAGUUUUGCUCUUAUCGCCCAGGCUGGAGUGCAAUGGUGCCAUCUCAGCUCACUGCCACCUCUGCCUCCCGGGUUCAAGUGAUUCUCCUGCCUCAGCCUCCCGAGUAUCUGGGAUUACAGUGCCUCCUGCCUCCCUGCCAGCACCGAGCCCCUCUUCCAGCCCACCCCAGUGGGGUUCAGGCCCCUACCUGGAGCCUCACCUUGCGGGUGACGGUGCACUGCUGAGUCAUGUCCUGGAUGAGGGCUAUGAGCUGCUGCUGAGCCCUGCAAAGACCAGGAGAGGCCCUGACCCAGCUGCCUCCUGCCAGACAGGCAGCAGAAGCCGUCCACCCUCCUGAGAAGCCCCACGGCCUCCUCCAGGGUCGUGUCCUCCAGGACUGCCUUGAACAAGGGCUCUGUGGCUUCAUAAUCAACCUGAGGGAAAGUCGAGAAGGUCAGUCUCUUUCCCCC